Drosophila virilis is the source of this 810-nucleotide long non-coding RNA. RefSeq lists it as uncharacterized. Lineage: Eukaryota; Metazoa; Arthropoda; Insecta; Diptera; Drosophilidae. The record is from RefSeq and is a predicted model, not a curated record.
UAAGAUAUAAGAAUUUUCUCACAAUUGUUGAAGUCAUGAAAAAACUGUUAAGGAUUGGGAAUUCAAUUCGUAUUGUAAAAAAAUUUAUUCUGACGUAGAACCAGCGAUGUCUUGCUCGUAAGUUCGACGAACAGACACCUUAGCCACGCAUAUGUAUGAAAAACUAGUGAGAGGCGAAUCAAAUGAGACUUGCAGACUCCAUUCAGCUGUUGAAAUAAGUUCAAAUUAAUUGCAACCUUUGCUACAAUAUUUGUUCACAAUUAAGUUGGCAUAUUUAUAACGAAAAUGUAUUGUAUUAUUCAGAAUAUCUCCAACCAAGCCAAGCGAGUUUUUGCGAGCUGCCUGUAAACGACUUCCCGCUGGGCAUACGCGACCUAUGUGCAGAUCCCAGAUCCGAAUUCAACACGCAUGGUUGGCGGUUUUCAACACCUUUUUCAACUGGUGCGAAAAGCGAGCUUUUGCAUUAAAAUGUUUGCAAUGCCUAGUCCAAGCAAUCAAGCCACAUUCAAGCUUAAUUUCAAUGUAUGCGCACAUAAUUUGAUUACUGUUCGGGCUUCGUGUUGAUGCACAAAAAUUCUCCUAAAUACCAAAUUUGCUAAGUCCGACAAAAUUAUUGCUUAAAAAUUCCCAAGCCUGCCGCCUCCGGACCUGGACAGAGACAAGAUGGCCCAUAAAAUGUGGUGCAAGUGUCGCAGCAAGUGGUGCAAAUGUUUGGCAGUCGACAUCAAGUGGGAAAGUGUCAGGCGGCAAAUACAAUUAAAUAUUCAAAUGUACAAUCAAUAAAUGGUUUUGAAAUUUGUGAUACUGCAA